This 254-nucleotide ribosomal RNA is filed under the name uncultured bacterium. Its description in RNAcentral is "partial 16S ribosomal RNA". It matches the Rfam family "Bacterial small subunit ribosomal RNA", at positions 524 to 776 of the family's 1533-position model. The record is from RNAcentral.
CACGUAGGGACCGAGCGUUGUCCGGAUUUAUUGGGCGUAAAGAGCUCGUAGGCGGUUCAGCAAGUCGGGUGUGAAAACUCUGGGCUCAACCCAGAGACGCCACCCGAUACUGCUGUGACUAGAGUCCGGUAGGGGAGUGGGGAAUUCCUGGUGUAGCGGUGAAAUGCGCAGAUAUCAGGAGGAACACCGGUGGCGAAGGCGCCACUCUGGGCCGGCACUGACGCUCAUGCACGAAAGCGUGGGGAGCAAACAGG